Pelobates cultripes (western spadefoot toad) is the source of this 1080-nucleotide non-coding RNA. The record is from the annotation of a GenBank genome assembly. Lineage: Eukaryota; Metazoa; Chordata; Amphibia; Anura; Pelobatidae.
GGCAUUUUAGAUGCUUUUGAAUCUCCUUUUACCGUGAUGCCCAGCCAUCACGAGUGGCUGAGAAUUUACAAAAAUAUAAUAUACUGACCCAACACCCAUCGAAAUAUGCUCUAUCCAAAUAAGUGCAAAAAGACUGUUCCAAAGACCAACAAUUCAGUGAUAACAUGACAAACAGAUUCAGCACUCCUUAUUUUAAGGAAAUGUCAUCUUUAUUGUGUUCUCACCAGUUUCAACAUUUUCUUCCCAUCAUAUAGAUCUUUCUCACACUUGGCUUGAGAAAGACCUACAUGAAUAGUCAAAAUGUUACCACUAGCGAGGGUUCAAUAAAGGAAUUGCUUGCUUAAAGAAAAAUAGAAUGCUGGCUUGUUUGACAUUGUAUCAAGUAUGGCUGAGCAUUAUGGGAAAUGUAGUCCACAAACAUCUACAGUGCCAGGGUUAACCAUUGCAGUUGAUAACAUAGCAUAUCAUCCAUAGCCUAUCUCUUUAAUCUAUUACAUUACAAGGGCCAUAACCGUGACUUCACCAAUAAGACGCUUAGAAAGAUUUCAUUAUUGAUAAUUCUUUAGUCAACUAUUCCAAGUGAGCUGUGAUGAGAGCUCACCUUUAACCAGUUCACGACAGGUUUAAUAUAACUGCUGUCCAUCACAAUGUAUAUGUUUAUAUACCAAGUGUCCCUGGUUAAAGGGAAAAUCUGGUCAAUUCUUACCCAUCACCAAUAUAGAACAUGAAAAAAAUUUAAAAUAAGAACAAUAAAAGCAGAUUUUAAAACACAAGUUUGGGUAUCCCUUUUUUUCAACUCAUAACAACUUAGGUUUGAUUUAUCCUGCUUUUUGUUCACAGAGUUUGUCUUACACAGCUACACGGUACAAGUAAGGGCAGGUCUGUUCUAGCAAUACAGGGCAAACUCCAGACGGAGCCAGAGAUAACCAGCUAAAUUUUAGGCAUGACAAUAAAGGCAAAGGUAGCUCAGAAAGGAAAAAUGGACUGUGGCACAAGACUAAGGAUAGUCAUAAAUAAUGCUUAAGACAAUACUAAGUGAUGCAAAGCUCAGAUUUUAUUUACUGCAAAAAACGAUAUGGU